UUGCCAGACUCCUACGGGAGGCAGCAGUGGGGGAUAUUGCACAAUGGGGGGAACCCUGAUGCAGCGACGCCGCGUGGGUGAAGGAGCGUUUCGGCGCGUAAAGCCCUAUCGGCAGGGAAGAAGGAGGACGGUACCCGACUAAGAAGCCCCAGCUAACUACGUGCCAGCAGCCGCGGUAAUACGUAGGGGGCAAGCGUUAUCCGGAUUUACUGGGUGUAAAGGGAGCGUAGACGGCAGAGCAAGUCUGAAGUGAAAGCCCGCGGCCCAACGGCGGGACUGCUUUGGAAACUGCCCGGCUAGAGUGCUGGAGAGGUAAGCGGAAUUCCUAGUGUAGCGGUGAAAUGCGUAGAUAUUAGGAGGAACACCAGUGGCGAAGGCGGCUUACUGGACAGUAACCGACGUUGAGGCUCGAAAGCGUGGGGAGCAAACAGGAUUAGAUACCCCCGUAUA
Molecule: ribosomal RNA, 450 nt
Filed under: uncultured bacterium
Lineage: Bacteria
Description: partial 16S ribosomal RNA
Rfam family: Bacterial small subunit ribosomal RNA
Source: RNAcentral